RNAcentral lists this ribosomal RNA (254 nucleotides) under uncultured bacterium. RNAcentral describes it as "partial 16S ribosomal RNA". It matches the Rfam family "Bacterial small subunit ribosomal RNA", at positions 524 to 776 of the family's 1533-position model. The record is from RNAcentral.
UACGUAGGGUGCGAGCGUUAAUCGGAAUUACUGGGCGUAAAGCGUGCGCAGGCGGUCUGUUAAGACCGAUGUGAAAUCCCCGGGCUUAACCUGGGAACUGCAUUGGUGACUGGCAGGCUUUGAGUGUGGCAGAGGGAGGUAGAAUUCCACGUGUAGCAGUGAAAUGCGUAGAGAUGUGGAGGAAUACCGAUGGCGAAGGCAGCCUCCUGGGCCAACACUGACGCUGAGAAGCGAAAGCAUGGGGAGCGAACAGG